ACGGGUGAGUAACACGUGGGCAAUCUGCCCUUCACUCUGGGACAAGCCCUGGAAACGGGGUCUAAUACCGGAUAUCACUUCCGCAGGCAUCUGUGGGGGUUGAAAGCUCCGGCGGUGAAGGAUGAGCCCGCGGCCUAUCAGCUUGUUGGUGAGGUAAUGGCUCACCAAGGCGACGACGGGUAGCCGGCCUGAGAGGGCGACCGGCCACACUGGGACUGAGACACGGCCCAGACUCCUACGGGAGGCAGCAGUGGGGAAUAUUGCACAAUGGGCGAAAGCCUGAUGCAGCGACGCCGCGUGAGGGAUGACCGCCUUCGGGUUGUAAACCUCUUUCAGCAGGGAAGAAGCGAAAGUGACGGUACCUGCAGAAGAAGCGCCGGCUAACUACGUGCCAGCAGCCGCGGUAAUACGUAGGGCGCAAGCGUUGUCCGGAAUUAUUGGGCGUAAAGAGCUCGUAGGCGGCCUGUCGCGUCGGAUGUGAAAGCCCGGGGCUUAACCCCGGGUCUGCAUUCGAUACGGGCAGACUAGAGUGUGGUAGGGGAGAUCGGAAUUCCUGGUGUAGCGGUGAAAUGCGCAGA
Molecule: ribosomal RNA, 578 nt
Filed under: uncultured Streptomyces sp.
Lineage: Bacteria; Bacillati; Actinomycetota; Actinomycetes; Kitasatosporales; Streptomycetaceae
Description: bacterial SSU rRNA
Rfam family: Bacterial small subunit ribosomal RNA
Source: RNAcentral